CUUGAAGUCUCUUCCAGGCAGACAUUUACGAGAAUUGUACGUUUGUUUGACUUUUAAGGGAAAUCGAAUAGAUGGGAGGCAGAAUCUCACAUCCCAGCACUGAAGUCUUAGACUACAGACUUGAGCUUUGUCAGUUGAAUUCUCCUGCCUGGGACUGAAUCUGGAGCAGAUUCUAUUAGUUGUUUCUUAUACUGGCUCUGAUGAAGCAAGCUGCCAUAGGGAGAAGUCCAUGUGGCAAGGAACUGAGGGUGGCCUGCAGCUAACAACUAUCAAGAAAUUGAUGUCCUCAGUCCAAUAACCUGUAAAGAAUUGUACCCUACUGACAACCGUGUGAACUUGGAAGAGCAUCCUUCCCCAGUCUAGCCUAUAUGAGACCCUAGGCCUGGUUGAGACCUUGAGCUUCAGCCUAGUAAAACACCCUGAAGCAGAGAACCAGUUAAAUCAUAUCCAGAUUUCUGACCCAGAGAAACUGUGAGAUAAUAAAUAUGUGGUGUUUUAAGCUGCUAAUUUUGUGGUUAUUUUUCACAUGGCAACAGAUAACUAACACAUUCACCCAAGGUCAUACAAGUGGUAAGUUAAUGAGUAAGGAUAUGAAACUUGGCAGUCUGGCUUUGAUUUAGG
This 621-nucleotide long non-coding RNA is filed under the name Equus asinus (donkey). Its description in RNAcentral is "lncRNA (ENSEASG00005033179.1)". The record is from RNAcentral. Lineage: Eukaryota; Metazoa; Chordata; Mammalia; Perissodactyla; Equidae.